AAAUUGAAGAGUUUGAUCAUGGCUCAGAUUGAACGCUGGCGGCAGGCCUAACACAUGCAAGUCGAACGGUAACAGGAAGCAGCUUGCUGCUUUGCUGACGAGUGGCGGACGGGUGAGUAAUGUCUGGGAAACUGCCUGAUGGAGGGGAUAACUACUGGAAACGGUGGCUAAUACCGCAUAACGUCGCAAGACCAAAGAGGGGGACCUUCGGGCCUCUUGCCAUCAGAUGUGCCCAGAUGGGAUUAGCUAGUUGGUGAGGUAACGGCUCACCAAGGCGACGAUCCCUAGCUGGUCUGAGAGGAUGACCAGCCACACUGGAACUGAGACACGGUCCAGACUCCUACGGGAGGCAGCAGUGGGGAAUAUUGCACAAUGGGCGCAAGCCUGAUGCAGCCAUGCCGCGUGUAUGAAGAAGGCCUUAGGGUUGUAAAGUACUUUCAGCGGGGAGGAAGGUGUUGUGGUUAAUAACCGCAGCAAUUGACGUUACCCGCAGAAGAAGCACCGGCUAACUCCGUGCCAGCAGCCGCGGUAAUACGGAGGGUGCAAGCGUUAAUCGGAAUUACUGGGCGUAAAGCGCACGCAGGCGGUCUGUCAAGUCGGAUGUGAAAUCCCCGGGCUCAACCUGGGAACUGCAUUCGAAACUGGCAGGCUUGAGUCUUGUAGAGGGGGGUAGAAUUCCAGGUGUAGCGGUGAAAUGCGUAGAGAUCUGGAGGAAUACCGGUGGCGAAGGCGGCCCCCUGGACAAAGACUGACGCUCAGGUGCGAAAGCGUGGGGAGCAAACAGGAUUAGAUACCCUGGUAGUCCACGCCGUAAACGAUGUCUACUUGGAGGUUGUGCCCUUGAGGCGUGGCUUCCGGAGCUAACGCGUUAAGUAGACCGCCUGGGGAGUACGGCCGCAAGGUUAAAACUCAAAUGAAUUGACGGGGGCCCGCACAAGCGGUGGAGCAUGUGGUUUAAUUCGAUGCAACGCGAAGAACCUUACCUGGUCUUGACAUCCACAGAACUUUCCAGAGAUGGAUUGGUGCCUUCGGGAACUGUGAGACAGGUGCUGCAUGGCUGUCGUCAGCUCGUGUUGUGAAAUGUUGGGUUAAGUCCCGCAACGAGCGCAACCCUUAUCCUUUGUUGCCAGCGAUUAGGUCGGGAACUCAAAGGAGACUGCCAGUGAUAAACUGGAGGAAGGUGGGGAUGACGUCAAGUCAUCAUGGCCCUUACGACCAGGGCUACACACGUGCUACAAUGGCGCAUACAAAGAGAAGCGACCUCGCGAGAGCAAGCGGACCUCAUAAAGUGCGUCGUAGUCCGGAUUGGAGUCUGCAACUCGACUCCAUGAAGUCGGAAUCGCUAGUAAUCGUGGAUCAGAAUGCCACGGUGAAUACGUUCCCGGGCCUUGUACACACCGCCCGUCACACCAUGGGAGUGGGUUGCAAAAGAAGUAGGUAGCUUAACCUUCGGGAGGGCGCUUACCACUUUGUGAUUCAUGACUGGGGUGAAGUCGUAACAAGGUAACCGUAGGGGAACCUGCGGUUGGAUCACCUCCUUACCUUAAAGAAGC
This 1553-nucleotide ribosomal RNA is filed under the name Salmonella enterica subsp. enterica serovar Typhimurium. RNAcentral describes it as "bacterial SSU rRNA". It matches the Rfam family "Bacterial small subunit ribosomal RNA". Lineage: Bacteria; Pseudomonadati; Pseudomonadota; Gammaproteobacteria; Enterobacterales; Enterobacteriaceae. The record is from RNAcentral.